UAGGGAAUAUUCCACAAUGAGCGAAAGCUUGAUGCAGCGACACAGCGUGCACGAUGAAGGUCUUCGGAUUGUAACGUGCUGUUAUAAGGGAAGAACAUUUGCAAUAGGAAAUGAUUGCAGACUGACGGUACCUUGUCAGAAAGCGAUGGCUAACUAUGUGCCAGCAGCCGCGGUAAUACAUAGGUCGCAAGCGUUAUCCGGAAUUAUUGGGCGUAAAGCGUUCGUAGGCUGUUUGUUAAGUCUGGAGUUAAAUCCCGGGGCUCAACCCCGGCUCGCUUUGGAUACUAGCAAACUAGAGAUAGAUAGAGGUAAGCGGAAUUCAAUGUGAAGGGGUGAAAUGCGUGGAUAUAUGGAAGAACACCAAAGGCGAAGGCAGCUUACUGGGUCUAUACGGACGCUGGGGGACGAAAGCGUGGGGAGCAAACAGG
Molecule: ribosomal RNA, 428 nt
Filed under: Verrucomicrobiota bacterium
Lineage: Bacteria; Pseudomonadati; Verrucomicrobiota
Description: Verrucomicrobia bacterium partial 16S ribosomal RNA
Rfam family: Bacterial small subunit ribosomal RNA
Source: RNAcentral